UGGGGAAUCUUGGACAAUGGGCGCAAGCCUGAUCCAGCGACGCCGCGUGGGUGACGAAGGCCCUCGGGUUGUAAAGCCCUUUUGCCGGGGACGAUGAUGACGGUACCCGGCGAAUAAGCACCGGCUAACUCCGUGCCAGCAGCCGCGGUAAGACGGAGGGUGCUAGCGUUGUUCGGAAUUACUGGGCGUAAAGGGCGCGUAGGCGGCCCUGGAAGUCGGGUGUGAAAGCCCGGGGCUCAACCCCGGAACGGCACCCGAUACUCCUGGGCUCGAGACCGGAAGAGGUGAGUGGAAUACCCAGUGUAGAGGUGAAAUUCGUAGAUAUUGGGUGGAACACCGGUGGCGAAGGCGGCUCACUGGUCCGGUUCUGACGCUGAGGCGCGAAAGCGUGGGGAGCAAACAG
This 403-nucleotide ribosomal RNA is filed under the name uncultured bacterium. Its description in RNAcentral is "bacterial SSU rRNA". It matches the Rfam family "Bacterial small subunit ribosomal RNA", at positions 355 to 775 of the family's 1533-position model. The record is from RNAcentral.